RNAcentral lists this ribosomal RNA (1508 nucleotides) under Salinivibrio sp. RS16. RNAcentral describes it as "16S ribosomal RNA". It matches the Rfam family "Bacterial small subunit ribosomal RNA". Lineage: Bacteria; Pseudomonadati; Pseudomonadota; Gammaproteobacteria; Vibrionales; Vibrionaceae. The record is from RNAcentral.
CCUGGGUCAGAUUGAACGCUGGCGGCAGGCCUAACACAUGCAAGUCGAGSGGAAACGGCAGCAUUGAAGCUUCGGUGGAUUUGCUGGACGUCGAGCGGCGGACGGGUGAGUAACGGCUGGGAACCUGCCCUGACGCGGGGGAUAACCGUUGGAAACGACGGCUAAUACCGCAUAAUGUCUUAGUUCAUUACGAGCUGGGACCAAAGGUGGCCUCUACAUGUAAGCUAUCGCGUUGGGAUGGGCCCAGUUAGGAUUAGCUAGUUGGUAAGGUAAUGGCUUACCAAGGCRACGAUCCCUUAGCUGGUUUGAGAGGAUGAUCASCCACACUGGGACUGAAACACGGCCCAAACUCCUACGGGAGGCACCAGUGGGGAAUAUUGCACAAUGGGGGAAACCCUGAUGCACCCAUGCCGCGUGUGUGAAAAAGGCCUUCGGGUUGUAAAGCACUUUCACCAUUGAGGAAGGUGGUGUACUUAAUACUUGCACGGCUUGACUUUACCUGCAAAAAAACCACCGGCUAACUCCGUGCCACCACCCGCGGUAAUACGGAGGGUGCGAUGACGUUAAUCGGAAUUACUGGGCGUAAAGCGCAUGCAGGCGGUUUGUUAAGUCAGAUGUGAAAGCCCGGGGCUCAACCUCGGAACCGCAUUUGAAACUGGCAGGCUAGAGUCUUGUAGAGGGGGGUAGAAUUUCAGGUGUAGCGGUGAAAUGCGUAGAGAUCUGAAGGAAUACCAGUGGCGAAGGCGGCCCCCUGGACAAAGACUGACGCUCAGAUGCGAAAGCGUGGGUAGCAAACAGGAUUAGAUACCCUGGUAGUCCACGCCGUAAACGCUGUCUACUUGGAGGUUGAGGUUUAGACUUUGGCUUUCGGCGCUAACGCAUUAAGUAGACCGCCUGGGGAGUACGGCCGCAAGGUUAAAACUCAAAUGAAUUGACGGGGGCCCGCACAAGCGGUGGAGCAUGUGGUUUAAUUCGAUGCAACGCGAAGAACCUUACCUACUCUUGACAUCCAGCGAAGCCUUUAGAGAUAGAGGCGUGCCUUCGGGAGCGCUGAGACAGGUGCUGCAUGGCUGUCGUCAGCUCGUGUUGUGAAAUGUUGGGUUAAGUCCCGCAACGAGCGCAACCCUUAUCCUUGUUUGCCAGCACGUAAUGGUGGGAACUCCAGGGAGACUGCCGGUGAUAAACCGGAGGAAGGUGGGGACGACGUCAAGUCAUCAUGGCCCUUACGAGUAGGGCUACACACGUGCUACAAUGGCAGAUACAGAGGGCAGCGAAGCUGCGAAGUGGAGCGAAUCCCUUAAAGUCUGUCGUAGUCCGGAUUGGAGUCUGCAACUCGACUCCAUGAAGUCGGAAUCGCUAGUAAUCGUGGAUCAGAAUGCCACGGUGAAUACGUUCCCGGGCCUUGUACACACCGCCCGUCACACCAUGGGAGUGGGCUGCACCAGAAGUAGAUAGCUUAMCCUUCGGGAGGGCGUUUACCACGUGUGGUUCAUGACUGGGGUGAAGUC